Molecule: ribosomal RNA, 540 nt
Filed under: uncultured bacterium
Lineage: Bacteria
Description: partial 16S ribosomal RNA
Rfam family: Bacterial small subunit ribosomal RNA
Source: RNAcentral
UGGGGAAUAUUGCACAAUGGGCGAAAGCCUGAUGCAGCAACGCCGCGUGAGUGAUGAAGGUCUUCGGAUUGUAAAGCUCUGUCUUUUGGGACGAUAAUGACGGUACCAAAGGAGGAAGCCACGGCUAACUACGUGCCAGCAGCCGCGGUAAUACGUAGGUGGCGAGCGUUGUCCGGAUUUACUGGGCGUAAAGGGUGCGUAGGCGGAUGUUUAAGUGAGAUGUGAAAUACCCGGGCUUAACUUGGGUGCUGCAUUUCAAACUGGAUAUCUAGAGUGCAGGAGAGGAGAAUGGAAUUCCUAGUGUAGCGGUGAAAUGCGUAGAGAUUAGGAAGAACACCAGUGGCGAAGGCGAUUCUCUGGACUGUAACUGACGCUGAGGCACGAAAGCGUGGGUAGCAAACAGGAUUAGAUACCCUGGUAGUCCACGCCGUAAACGAUGAGUACUAGGUGUAGGAGGUAUCGACCCCUUCUGUGCCGCAGUAAACACAUUAAGUACUCCGCCUGGGAAGUACGAUCGCAAGAUUAAAACUCUAAAGUGAA